AACGCGAAGAACCUUACCUGGUCUUGACAUCCACAGAACUUUCCAGAGAUGGAUUGGUGCCUUCGGGAACUGUGAGACAGGUGCUGCAUGGCUGUCGUCAGUUCGUGCUGUGAAAUGUUGGGUUAAGUCCCGCAACGAGCGCAACCCUUAUCUUUUGUUGCCAGCGGUCCGGCCGGGAACUCAAAGGAGACUGCCAGUGAUAAACUGGAGGAAGGUGGGGAUGACGUCAAGUCAUCAUGGCCCUUACGACCAGGGCUACACACGUGCUACAAUGGCGCAUACAAAGAGAAGCGACCUCGCGAGAGCAAGCGGACCUCAUAAAGUGCGUCGUAGUCCGGAUUGGAGUCUGCAACUCGACUCCAUGAAGUCGGAAUCGCUAGUAAUCGUGGAUCAGAAUGCCACGGUGAAUACGUUCCCGGGUCUUGUACACACGC
This 434-nucleotide ribosomal RNA is filed under the name uncultured Escherichia sp. Its description in RNAcentral is "bacterial SSU rRNA". It matches the Rfam family "Bacterial small subunit ribosomal RNA", at positions 958 to 1393 of the family's 1533-position model. The record is from RNAcentral. Lineage: Bacteria; Pseudomonadati; Pseudomonadota; Gammaproteobacteria; Enterobacterales; Enterobacteriaceae.